AGAAUCAACGCUGGCGGCGUGCCUAACACAUGCAAGUCGCACGAGAAAGGGUAGCAAUACCUGAGUAAAGUGGCGCACGGGUGAGUAACACGUGAAUGAUCUACCUCCGAGUGGGGAAUAACUGAGAGAAAUCUUAGCUAAUACCGCAUAACACUUACAAGUCAAAGCAGCAAUGCGCUUGGAGAGGAGUUCGCGGCCGAUUAGUUAGUUGGCGGGGUAAUGGCCCACCAAGACGAUGAUCGGUA
Molecule: ribosomal RNA, 245 nt
Filed under: uncultured bacterium
Lineage: Bacteria
Description: partial small subunit ribosomal RNA
Rfam family: Bacterial small subunit ribosomal RNA
Source: RNAcentral